GGACCCGCACAAGCGGUGGAGUAUGUGGUUUAAUUCGAAGCAACGCGCAGAACCUUACCUACCCUUAACAUCCCGGGACAACCUCAGAGAUGAGGCUUUCUCUUCGGAGACUCGGUGAUAGGUGCUGCAUGGCUGUCGUCAGCUCGUGUCGUAAGAUGUUCGGUUAAGUCCGAUAACGAGCGCAACCCUUAUCCUUAGUUACCAGCAUUAAGUUGGGGACUCUAGGGAGACUGCCGGUGUUAAACCGGAGGAAGGCGGGGAUGACGUCAAGUCCUCAUGGCCCUUACGGGUAGGGCUACACACGUACUACAAUGGCAGGAACAAACUGACGCGAGACCGCGAGGUGGAGCAAAUCAGUAAAACACUGUCUAAGUCCGGAUUGGAGUCUGCAAUUCGACUCCAUG
This 404-nucleotide ribosomal RNA is filed under the name uncultured bacterium. RNAcentral's name for it is "bacterial SSU rRNA". It matches the Rfam family "Bacterial small subunit ribosomal RNA", at positions 917 to 1322 of the family's 1533-position model. The record is from RNAcentral.